GGAUAACACUUAGAAAUAGGUGCUAAUACCGCAUAACAACAGAAAGCGCAUGCUUUUUGUUUGAAAACCAAGGUGGUAUGGGAUGGACCCGCGUCUGAUUAGCUGGUUGGCGGGGUAAAGGCCCACCAAGGCGACGAUCAGUAGCCGGCCUGAGAGGGUGGACGGCCACAUUGGGACUGAGACACGGCCCAAACUCCUACGGGAGGCAGCAGUGGGGAAUAUUGCACAAUGGGGGAAACCCUGAUGCAGCGACGCCGCGUGAGUGAAGAAGUAAUUCGUUAUGUAAAGCUCUAUCAGCAGGGAAGAAAAUGACGGUACCUGAGUAAGAAGCCCCGGCUAACUACGUGCCAGCAGCCGCGGUAAUACGUAGGGGGCAAGCGUUAUCCGGAUUUACUGGGUGUAAAGGGAGCGUAGACGGCAGUGCAAGUCUGGAGUGAAAGGCGGGGGCUCAACCCCCGGACUGCUCUGGAAACUGUACGGCUGGAGUGCAGGAGAGGUAAGUGGAAUUCCUAGUGUAGCGGUGAAAUGCGUAGAUAUUAGGAGGAACACCAGUGGCGAAGGCGGCUUACUGGACUGUAACUGACGUUGAGGCUCGAAAGCGUGGGGAGCAAACAGGAUUAGAUACCCUGGUAGUCCACGCCGUAAACG
This 648-nucleotide ribosomal RNA is filed under the name uncultured bacterium. Its description in RNAcentral is "bacterial SSU rRNA". It matches the Rfam family "Bacterial small subunit ribosomal RNA", at positions 141 to 808 of the family's 1533-position model. The record is from RNAcentral.